UGCCCCCCGGCCCGGGAUAGCCCAGGGAAACCUGGAUUAAUACCGGAUGAGACGGGACCCGCGAGUGGCGGGACCCGGGAAGGCGCUGCGGCGCCGCCGGGGGAUGAGUCUGCGUCCCAUUAGCUAGACGCGGGGUAACGGCCCACCGUGGCGACGAUGGGUAGCCGGCCUGAGAGGGUGGACGGCCACAUUGGAACUGAGACACGGUCCAGACUCCUACGGGAGGCAGCAGCUAAGAAUCUUCCGCAAUGGGCGAAAGCCUGACGGAGCGAACCGCCGCGUGAACGAAGAAGGCCGUGAGGUUGUAAAGUUCUUUUCGGGAGGGGGAACAACCGUGGCAGGGAAUGGCCGCGGGAUGACGUGAAUCCCGGAAUAAGCCCCGGCUAACUACGUGCCAGCCGCCGC
RNAcentral lists this ribosomal RNA (405 nucleotides) under uncultured bacterium. Its description in RNAcentral is "bacterial SSU rRNA". It matches the Rfam family "Bacterial small subunit ribosomal RNA", at positions 127 to 518 of the family's 1533-position model. The record is from RNAcentral.